RNAcentral lists this ribosomal RNA (1364 nucleotides) under uncultured bacterium. RNAcentral describes it as "bacterial SSU rRNA". It matches the Rfam family "Bacterial small subunit ribosomal RNA", at positions 28 to 1382 of the family's 1533-position model. The record is from RNAcentral.
AUUGAACGCUGUCGGCAGGCCUAACACAUGCAAGUCGAACGGUAACAGGAAGAAGCUUGCUUCUUUGCUGACGAGUGGCGGACGGGUGAGUAAUGUCUGGGAAACUGCCUGAUGGAGGGGGAUAACUACUGGAAACGGUAGCUAAUACCGCAUAACGUCGCAAGACCAAAGAGGGGGACCUUCGGGCCUCUUGCCAUCGGAUGUGCCCAGAUGGGAUUAGCUAGUAGGUGGGGUAACGGCUCACCUAGGCGACGAUCCCUAGCUGGUCUGAGAGGAUGACCAGCCACACUGGAACUGAGACACGGUCCAGACUCCUACGGGAGGCAGCAGUGGGGAAUAUUGCACAAUGGGCGCAAGCCUGAUGCAGCCAUGCCGCGUGUAUGAAGAAGGCCUUCGGGUUGUAAAGUACUUUCAGCGGGGAGGAAGGGAGUAAAGUUAAUACCUUUGCUCAUUGACGUUACCCGCAGAAGAAGCACCGGCUAACUCCGUGCCAGCAGCCGCGGUAAUACGGAGGGUGCAAGCGUUAAUCGGAAUUACUGGGCGUAAAGCGCACGCAGGCGGUUUGUUAAGUCAGAUGUGAAAUCCCCGGGCUCAACCUGGGAACUGCAUCUGAUACUGGCAAGCUUGAGUCUCGUAGAGGGGGGUAGAAUUCCAGGUGUAGCGGUGAAAUGCGUAGAGAUCUGGAGGAAUACCGGUGGCGAAGGCGGCCCCCUGGACGAAGACUGACGCUCAGGUGCGAAAGCGUGGGGAGCAAACAGGAUUAGACACCCUGGUAGUCCACGCCGUAAACGAUGUCGACUUGGAGGUUGUGCCCUUGAGGCGUGGCUUCCGGAGCUAACGCGUUAAGUCGACCGCCUGGGGAGUACGGCCGCAAGGUUAAAACUCAAAUGAAUUGACGGGGGCCCGCACAAGCGGUGGAGCAUGUGGUUUAAUUCGAUGCAACGCGAAGAACCUUACCUGGUCUUGACAUCCACAGAACUUUCCAGAGAUGGAUUGGUGCCUUCGGGAACUGUGAGACAGGUGCUGCAUGGCUGUCGUCAGCUCGUGUUGUGAAAUGUUGGGUUAAGUCCCGCAACGAGCGCAACCCUUAUCUUUUGUUGCCAGCGGUCCGGCCGGGAACUCAAAGGAGACUGCCAGUGAUAAACUGGAGGAAGGUGGGGAUGACGUCAAGUCAUCAUGGCCCUUACGACCAGGGCUACAUACGUGCUACAAUGGCGCAUACAAAGAGAAGCGACCUCGCGAGAGCAAGCGGACCUCAUAAAGUGCGUCGUAGUCCGGAUUGGAGUCUGCAACUCGACUCCAUGAAGUCGGAAUCGCUAGUAACCGUGGAUCAGAAUGCCACGGUGAAUACGUUCCCGGGCAAU